RNAcentral lists this ribosomal RNA (568 nucleotides) under uncultured beta proteobacterium. RNAcentral describes it as "partial 16S ribosomal RNA". It matches the Rfam family "Bacterial small subunit ribosomal RNA", at positions 1 to 560 of the family's 1533-position model. Lineage: Bacteria; Pseudomonadati; Pseudomonadota; Betaproteobacteria. The record is from RNAcentral.
GGCCGCGGGAAUUCGAUUAGAGUUUGAUCCUGGCUCAGAUUGAACGCUGGCGGCAUGCUUUACACAUGCAAGUCGAGCGGCAGCGCGGGGGCAACCCUGGCGGCGAGCGGCGAACGGGUGAGUAAUGCAUCGGAACGUGUCCCGUAGUGGGGGAUAACCCGGCGAAAGCCGGGCUAAUACCGCAUAUUUCUCUACGGAGGAAAGCGGGGGAUCCGCAAGGACCUCGCGCUAUGGGAGCGGCCGAUGCCCGAUUAGCUUGUUGGUGAGGUAAAGGCUUACCAAGACGACGAUCGGUAGCUGGUCUGAGAGGAUGAUCAGCCACACUGGGACUGAGACACGGCCCAGACUCCUACGGGAGGCAGCAGUGGGGAAUUUUGGACAAUGGGGGCAACCCUGAUCCAGCCAUGCCGCGUGAGGGAUGACGGCCUUCGGGUUGUAAACCUCUUUCACCAUUGACGAAGCUGCAUCUUUUUGGGUGUGGUGACGGUAGGUGGGGAAGAAGCACCGGCUAACUACGUGCCAGCAGCCGCGGUAUACGAAUCACUAGUGAAUUCGCGGCCGCCUGCAG